GGGAUCAUUACAGAGAAGCACGGCCGGGCCCGGCCACGGGCCCGACCGCGUGACCUCCAACCCUUUGUGAACACAAAAUGUUGCUUCGGGGGCGACCCUGCCGUUUCGACGGCGGGUGCCCCCGGAGGCCUGCCAACACUGCAUCUCGGCGUCGGAGUUUAAGUCAAUUAAACAAAACUUUCAACAACGGAUCUCUUGGUUCUGGCAUCGAUGAAGAACGCAGCGAAAUGCGAUAAGUAAUGUGAAUUGCAGAAUUCAGUGAAUCAUCGAAUCUUUGAACGCACAUUGCGCCCUCUGGUAUUCCGGAGGGCAUGCCUGUUCGAGCGUCAUUUCACCACUCAAGCCUGGCUUGGUAUUGGGCGCCGCGGUCUCCCGCGCGCCUCAAAGUCCCCCGGCUGAGCUGUCCGUCUCCGAGCGUUGUGAUUUCCGUAAUCGCUCCGGAGGGCGGGUGGCAGCGGCCGUUAAAUCUUGCACACGGUUGACCUCG
RNAcentral lists this ribosomal RNA (487 nucleotides) under Mycosphaerella populi. RNAcentral's name for it is "eukaryotic LSU rRNA". The stretch from base 176 to 329 matches the Rfam family "5.8S ribosomal RNA". Lineage: Eukaryota; Fungi; Ascomycota; Dothideomycetes; Mycosphaerellales; Mycosphaerellaceae. The record is from RNAcentral.